Long non-coding RNA from Numida meleagris (helmeted guineafowl), 1302 nucleotides. RefSeq lists it as uncharacterized. NCBI's taxonomy places the organism in Eukaryota, Metazoa, Chordata, Aves, Galliformes, Numididae. The record is from RefSeq and is a predicted model, not a curated record. The transcript has 4 exons.
GUGACGGCGAGCCAAUAGAAAGAGCGGAUCGCGCUGCGGGAGGCGGGGAAGAGAGGAUGGACAGACAACUGAGCCAAUAGGAGGAGAAAUAGCUUUCCCGCCCAUUUUCUCGCCCCGCCCCGCGUGUUGUUUGUUUGUGAGGAGGAGAAGGGGGGGCCGCCAUCCGUCCGUCCCCUCAGUGGGGCGUGCGCCGCCUCCGCCUCUCGGGAGGGGCGGUGAGGGCCCAGCUCCAGGCGGGCAGCCAGAGCCGGCGUCACUGAGAGGCAGCGGGCAGCUCGCCCAGCGCCAAGGAACACCCGUGCAGAAGGAGCUGCGGAGCCACAGCUGCCCCCACGGGACGUGGGCGAGACUGUAAAACUCCAUUUGCAAAAAUCUGCUACGGUAAGGAGUGCUCGCUAGCAUGAGGAGUUCGUCACGUCGGGCGUCGUCUUUUUGCUAGUGGUAAAUCCAGGACCUGCCUUCGGCAAACGCCGGCCGCAGAGGAAGGGAAUGAGAAUCGGCCCCGCCGCCGUGGGACAGGGGACGGGGCCCCUCCGGGCGCCGGCAGCCCCGCGCUGGGCCGCGUAAAGUGCAUGGUUUGCUUUAUUUUUUUUUCUUUCUUUCAUUAAAAAAAUAAGAGGAAUAAAACUUUCUUCUUUCGUCAAGGUACUCGGGGGUGUGUGUGGGGGGGGGGAGUGAACGACGUUUUGGUCUCUCAGCAGCUAUUGCGGGAGCCAGGCCCGGCGUUCUCUCGCCGCUCUGCGUAACCGGGUGCUGCCCCAUCUCCUCGGCCCCGCGCCGCCUCCUUCCAUCCGCUCCCUUUCCUCGCCGAGCUCUGCCGUUCCCUUGCUCUGCGCCCGCAGGAGCCCACCUACCCCAGCGGGGCCGGGCUGCGCCCCACGCGCUGCAGGGAGGAAGAGGAGGGACCCACAGCGCCCAGAUCUCCUGGCACGGAGCCGAGCUGCGCUCCCAGCAGCAUCUUCUCCAUCAUCUCCAUCAUCAUCAUCAUCUUCUCCACGUUCUCCAUCUCCUCCCGGCCCCGUGGCAGAUAUCUGCUGAGAGAUGGUCGGCACGUCGCCCCGCGUACCAUCAUCAUCAUCAUCGUCGUCGUCGUCAUCACUCGCUUCACGAGGAAAAAGCCGGCGAGGUUUUUCGCCGACGAGAGGAACCGCCCCUCAGCGCAGAGCGGAGCGGCUCGGCACCGCGCCGGGGAGCAUCCAUCCCCGGGCCACUCAAUAUGAGGGCAGCGCUGCAGCCGGCUCCUGCGCCCGUUCCCCCGGCAGCACGCGGGCUCACGCGGCGUUCCCGUUUUCUCUCGGGAGG